Molecule: unclassified non-coding RNA, 398 nt
Filed under: soil metagenome
Description: partial contains 5.8S ribosomal RNA, internal transcribed spacer 2, and large subunit ribosomal RNA
Rfam family: 5.8S ribosomal RNA (bases 1-120)
Source: RNAcentral
GAUGAAGAACGUAGAAAUGCGAUACUUGGUGUGAAUUGCAGAAUCCCGUGAACCAUCGAGUCUUUGAACGCAAGUUGCGCCUCAAGCCAUUAGGUUGAGGGCACGUCUGCCUGGGCGUCACAUAUCGUUGCCUGAUGCCAGUUUCCUCGUGAUGGGUGACUGUGCAGGGCGAAUGAUGGCUUCCCGUGAGCAUUGUUGCCUCAUGGUUGGUUGAAAAUUGAGUCCUUGGUAGGGAGCGCCGUGAUAGAUGGUGGUUGAGUGACGAACGAGACCCAAUCAUGUGAGACCCCUACCGAAUUUGGCCUUCAUGACCCACAUGCGUCUUUGGAACGCUCAUGACGAGACCUCAGGUCAGGCGGGGCUACCCGCUGAGUUUAAGCAUAUCAAUAAGCGGAGGA